RNAcentral lists this transfer RNA (63 nucleotides) under Heterocephalus glaber (naked mole-rat). It matches the Rfam family "tRNA", at positions 5 to 66 of the family's 71-position model. From Rfam's summary of the family: Transfer RNA (tRNA) molecules are approximately 80 nucleotides in length. Their secondary structure includes four short double-helical elements and three loops (D, anti-codon, and T loops). The record is from Rfam by way of RNAcentral. Lineage: Eukaryota; Metazoa; Chordata; Mammalia; Rodentia; Bathyergidae.
AUGUAGCUCAAUGGUAGAGCACUUGCCUUGCAUGUUUGAUGCCCUGAGUUCAAUCCUUAGUAU